Molecule: ribosomal RNA, 787 nt
Filed under: uncultured bacterium
Lineage: Bacteria
Description: bacterial SSU rRNA
Rfam family: Bacterial small subunit ribosomal RNA
Source: RNAcentral
AGAGUUUGAUCCUGGCUCAGGACGAACGCUGGCGGCGCGCCUAACACAUGCAAGUCGAACGAGCGAGAGAGAGCUUGCUUUCUCAAGCGAGUGGCGAACGGGUGAGUAACGCGUGAGGAACCUGCCUCAAAGAGGGGGACAACAGUUGGAAACGACUGCUAAUACCGCAUAAGCCCACGGGUCGGCAUCGACCAGAGGGAAAAGGAGCAAUCCGCUUUGAGAUGGCCUCGCGUCCGAUUAGCUAGUUGGUGAGGUAAUGGCCCACCAAGGCGACGAUCGGUAGCCGGACUGAGAGGUUGAACGGCCACAUUGGGACUGAGACACGGCCCAGACUCCUACGGGAGGCAGCAGUGGGGAAUAUUGCACAAUGGGGGAAACCCUGAUGCAGCGACGCCGCGUGGAGGAAGAAGGUCUUCGGAUUGUAAACUCCUGUUGUUGAGGACGAUAAUGACGGUACUCAACAAGGAAGUGACGGCUUACUACGUGCCAGCAGCCGCGGUAAAACGUAGGUCACAAGCGUUGUCCGGAAUUACUGGGUGUAAAGGGAGCGCAGGCGGGAAGACAAGUUGGAAGUGAAAUCUAUGGGCUCAACCCAUAAACUGCUUUCAAAACUGUUUUUCUUGAGUAGUGCAGAGGUAGGCGGAAUUCCCGGUGUAGCGGUGGAAUGCGUAGAUAUCGGGAGGAACACCAGUGGCGAAGGCGGCCUACUGGGCACCAACUGACGCUGAGGCUCGAAAGUGUGGGUAGCAAACAGGAUUAGAUACCCUGAUAGUCCACACCGUAAACG